This 75-nucleotide transfer RNA is filed under the name Neisseria meningitidis NM2781. Its description in RNAcentral is "tRNA-Asp". It matches the Rfam family "tRNA". From Rfam's summary of the family: Transfer RNA (tRNA) molecules are approximately 80 nucleotides in length. Their secondary structure includes four short double-helical elements and three loops (D, anti-codon, and T loops). Lineage: Bacteria; Pseudomonadati; Pseudomonadota; Betaproteobacteria; Neisseriales; Neisseriaceae. The record is from RNAcentral.
GCGUGGUUAGCUCAGUGUUAGAGUACCGGCCUGUCACGCCGGGGGUCGCGGGUUCGAGCCCCGUCCGCCGCGCCA